UACGUAGGGUGCAAGCGUUAAUCGGAAUUACUGGGCGUAAAGCGUGCGCAGGCGGUUGUGCAAGACCGAUGUGAAAUCCCCGGGCUCAACCUGGGAAUGGCAUUGGUGACUGCACGGUUAGAGUGUGUCAGAGGGGGGUAGAAUUCCACGUGUAGCAGUGAAAUGCGUAGAGAUGUGGAGGAAUACCGAUGGCGAAGGCAGCCCCCUGGGAUAACACUGACGCUCAUGCACGAAAGCGUGGGGAGCAAACAGG
This 253-nucleotide ribosomal RNA is filed under the name uncultured bacterium. RNAcentral's name for it is "partial 16S ribosomal RNA". It matches the Rfam family "Bacterial small subunit ribosomal RNA", at positions 524 to 776 of the family's 1533-position model. The record is from RNAcentral.